RNAcentral lists this ribosomal RNA (1044 nucleotides) under Berthellina citrina (orange gumdrop sea slug). Its description in RNAcentral is "eukaryotic LSU rRNA". It matches the Rfam family "Eukaryotic large subunit ribosomal RNA", at positions 22 to 860 of the family's 3401-position model. Lineage: Eukaryota; Metazoa; Mollusca; Gastropoda; Pleurobranchida; Pleurobranchidae. The record is from RNAcentral.
UACCCGCUGAAUUUAAGCAUAUAAAUAAGCGGAGGAAAAGAAACUAACCAGGAUUCCCUCAGUAACGGCGAGUGAAGCGGGAAAAGCCCAGCACCGAAUCCCCCGGCGUGACCGUCGGCGGGAACUGUGGUGUGUGGGACGCCAACAGUCGCGCUCGGACGGCACCCAAGUCCUCCUGAUCGAGGCCUCUCCCCGAGCGGGUGUAAGGCCUUUGGUCGGUGCCCGUCCGGCGCGGCCGCGAGCGUCUCAGGAGUCGGGUUGUUUGGGAAUGCAGCCCUAAGCGGGUGGUAAACUCCAUCUAAGGCUAAAUACCUGUGCGAGUCCGAUAGCGGACAAGUACCGUGAGGGAAAGUUGAAAANNNNNACGGGUGGAACCGCAAAGUCAUGCCCGUGGGAUUCAGCCCGUUCCCCGUCCGGUGCCGGCUCGUCUUGGGGACCGUGUCCCUGCGCCUCGUGCGCGGGGAUCGGCCCCGGCGGGUUCGUGAGCUGGUGGGGACGGGUGCACUUCCCGCGGGUGGAAAGCCACGACCGGUUCUGGGGCGGCCAUGAGCCUGCAGGAGAAGGUAGGUGUCGCUCGGGUUUUACUCGUCCGGCCUGUUACAGCUCCAGUGGGAUUUGGCGCCCGCCCUGGGGACCGAGGAACCACCUCGCCUAGGUCCCCGCCGUGUGGGCACGGCCGGCGAGGCCGAGACUGGGAUGCCCUCCCGUGUCGGUCACGUUCGUGCCGGGCUCGCCGCGCGGGCGACCGGGGCGUUGCGUGGGUCGGUGGCGACGCCGUCGGCACUCCACCCGACCCGUCUUGAAACACGGACCAAGGAGUCUGGCGUGCGCGCGAGUCAAGGGGUCGUACGAAACCCUAGGGCGCAGUGAAAGCGAGGGCCGCCUCGGGCUGGCCCAGGUGGGAUCCGUCGUCCGGACUAAUCCUCCGGCGGCGGCGCACCACCGGCCCGCCCCGUCCGCGUUGUCGGUGGGGCGGAGCAUGAGCGCGUACGCCGGGACCCGAAAGAUGGUGAACUAUGCCUGAGUAGGCCGAAGCCAGAGGAA